Octopus bimaculoides (California two-spot octopus) is the source of this 141-nucleotide non-coding RNA. NCBI's taxonomy places the organism in Eukaryota, Metazoa, Mollusca, Cephalopoda, Octopoda, Octopodidae. The record is from Rfam.
AUAUAUGUCGAAGAAGCAGUGCCAUGGCCAGUGAGGGUUGUCCGAGGCAUGGUUAUUGCUAGUUGAAAGCUAUCUAAAGCUGACAUCUACCUCAUUAUCUGCCUGAGAGUAUGUACCUAUGUAUUUAUGGUCCCUUUAAAG